Molecule: ribosomal RNA, 497 nt
Filed under: uncultured bacterium
Lineage: Bacteria
Description: partial 16S ribosomal RNA
Rfam family: Bacterial small subunit ribosomal RNA
Source: RNAcentral
GAUGAACGCUGGCGGCGUGCCUAAUACAUGCAAGUCGAGCGAACGGACGAGAAGCUUGCUUCUCUGAUGUUAGCGGCGGACGGGUGGGUAACACGUGGAUAACCUACCUCUAAGACUGGGAUAACUUCGGGAAACCGGAUCUAAUACCGGCUGAUAUUUUGAACCGCAUGGUUCAAAAGUGAAUGACGGUCUUGCUGUCACUUAUAGCUGGAUCCGCGCUGCAUUAGCUAGUUGGUAAGGUAACGGCUUACCAAGGCAACGAUGCAUAGCCGACCUGAGAGGGUGAUCGGCCACACUGGAACUGAGACACGGUCCAGACUCCUACGGGAGGCAGCAGUAGGGAAUCUUCCGCAAUGGGCGAAAGCCUGACGGAGCAACGCCGCGUGAGUGAUGAAGGUCUUCGGGUCGUAAAACUCUGUUAUUAGGGAAGAACAUAUGUGUAAGUAACUGUGCACAUCUUGACGGUACCUAAUCAGAAAGCCACGGCUAACUACGUG